GUGAACGCUGGCGGUAGGCCUAACACAUGCAAGUCGAACGGCAGCACAGUAAGAGCUUGCUCUUACGGGUGGCGAGUGGCGGACGGGUGAGGAAUACAUCGGAAUCUACUUUUUCGUGGGGGAUAACGUAGGGAAACUUACGCUAAUACCGCAUACGACCUACGGGUGAAAGCAGGGGAUCUUCGGACCUUGCGCGAUUGAAUGAGCCGAUGUCGGAUUAGCUAGUUGGCGGGGUAAAGGCCCACCAAGGCGACGAUCCGUAGCUGGUCUGAGAGGAUGAUCAGCCACACUGGAACUGAGACACGGUCCAGACUCCUACGGGAGGCAGCAGUGGGGAAUAUUGGACAAUGGGCGCAAGCCUGAUCCAGCCAUACCGCGUGGGUGAAGAAGGCCUUCGGGUUGUAAAGCCCUUUUGUUGGGAAAGAAAAGCAGCAGGUUAAUACCCCGCUGUUCUGACGGUACCCAAAGAAUAAGCACCGGCUAACUUCGAG
RNAcentral lists this ribosomal RNA (491 nucleotides) under uncultured bacterium. RNAcentral describes it as "partial 16S ribosomal RNA". It matches the Rfam family "Bacterial small subunit ribosomal RNA", at positions 29 to 507 of the family's 1533-position model. The record is from RNAcentral.